This 425-nucleotide ribosomal RNA is filed under the name uncultured bacterium. RNAcentral describes it as "bacterial SSU rRNA". It matches the Rfam family "Bacterial small subunit ribosomal RNA", at positions 355 to 773 of the family's 1533-position model. The record is from RNAcentral.
UCGGGAAUUUUGGGCAAUGGGCGAAAGCCUGACCCAGCAACGCCGCGUGAAGGAUGAAAUCCCUCGGGAUGUAAACUUCGCAAGAACGGGAAGAAUAAGUCGGUGCUAACACCAUCGGCGAUGACGGUACUGUUUGUAAGCUCCGGCUAACUCCGUGCCAGCAGCCGCGGUAAUACGGGGGGAGCAAGCGUUGUUCGGAUUUACUGGGCGUAAAGGGCGCGUAGGCGGCCACCGCAAGUCGACUGUGAAAUCUCCGGGCUUAACUCGGAAAGGUCAGCCGAUACUGCGGGGCUAGAGUGCAGAAGGGGCAACUGGAAUUCUCGGUGUAGCGGUGAAAUGCGUAGAUAUCGAGAGGAACACCUGCGGCGAAGGCGGGUUGCUGGGCUGACACUGACGCUGAUUGUGCGAAAGCUAGGGGAGCGAAC